AUUACUCUUCCUAUCACGGACACGCCAUACACAACAAGUGCUACUCAAAUUUCAACUAGUACUACUGUCCCUAAUGCCACUAUAUCUUCCCCUAUAAAUACUUCUAUGGAUAGCACAGAUAUUACUCUUCCUAUCACGGACAUGCCAUACACAACAAGUGCUACUCAAGUUUCAGCUAGUACUACUGUCCUUAAUGCCACUAUAUCUUCCCCUAUUAAUACUACGACCGAUAGCACUAUUCUUACUCUUUCUGUCACAACCAUGCUUUACCCAACAAGUGCUACUGAAGUUUCAACUAGUACUACUGUCCCUAAUGCCACUAUAUCUUCCCCUAUAAAUACUACUACUGAUGGCACUAAUGUUACUCUUCCAGUCACAGACAUGCUAUACACAACAAGUGCUUCUCAAGUUUCAACAAGUACUACUGUCCCUAAUGCCACUAUAUCUUCCCCUAUAAAUACUACUACUGAUGGCACUAAUGUUACUCUUCCAGUCACAGACAUGCUAUACACAACAAGUGCUUCUCAAGUUUCAACAAGUACUACUGUCCCUAAUGCCACUAUAUCUUCCCCUAUAAAUACUACUACUGAUACCACUGAUAUUACUCUUCCUAUCACGGACACGCCAUACACAACAAGUGCUACUCAAAUUUCAACUAGUACUACUGUCCCUAAUGCCACUAUAUCUUCCCCUAUAAAUACUACUACUGAUACCACUGAUAUUACUCUUCCUAUCACGGACACGCCAUACACAACAAGUGCUACUCAAAUUUCAACUAGUACUACUGUCCCUAAUGCCACUAUAUCUUCCCCUAUAAAUACUACUACUGAUACCACUGAUAUUACUCUUCCUAUCACGGACACGCCAUACACAACAAGUGCUACUCAAAUUUCAACUAGUACUACUGUCCCUAAUGCCACUAUAUCUUCCCCUAUAAAUACUACUACUGGUACCACUGAUAUUACUUUUCCUAUCACGGACACGCCAUACACAACAACUGCUUCUCAAGUUUCAACAAGUACUACUGUCCCUAAUGCCACUAUAUCUUCC
RNAcentral lists this long non-coding RNA (1050 nucleotides) under Bos mutus (wild yak). RNAcentral describes it as "lncRNA (ENSBMUG00000007724.1)". Lineage: Eukaryota; Metazoa; Chordata; Mammalia; Artiodactyla; Bovidae. The record is from RNAcentral.